Molecule: transfer RNA, 82 nt
Filed under: Neotoma lepida (desert woodrat)
Lineage: Eukaryota; Metazoa; Chordata; Mammalia; Rodentia; Cricetidae
Rfam family: tRNA
About the family: Transfer RNA (tRNA) molecules are approximately 80 nucleotides in length. Their secondary structure includes four short double-helical elements and three loops (D, anti-codon, and T loops).
Source: Rfam by way of RNAcentral
GAUAGCGUGGCUGAGUGGUCAAAAGCGCUGGAUUUAGGCUCCAGUCAUUUCGAUGGUGUGAGUUCAAAUCCCACCGCUGCCA